Molecule: ribosomal RNA, 675 nt
Filed under: Bacillus sp. MMRF606
Lineage: Bacteria; Bacillati; Bacillota; Bacilli; Caryophanales; Bacillaceae
Description: bacterial SSU rRNA
Rfam family: Bacterial small subunit ribosomal RNA
Source: RNAcentral
UUCCGCAAUGGACGAAAGUCUGACGGAGCAACGCCGCGUGAGUGAUGAAGGUUUUCGGAUCGUAAAGCUCUGUUGUUAGGGAAGAACAAGUGCAAGAGUAACUGCUUGCACCUUGACGGUACCUAACCAGAAAGCCACGGCUAACUACGUGCCAGCAGCCGCGGUAAUACGUAGGUGGCAAGCGUUGUCCGGAAUUAUUGGGCGUAAAGGGCUCGCAGGCGGUUUCUUAAGUCUGAUGUGAAAGCCCCCGGCUCAACCGGGGAGGGACAUUGGAAACUGGGAAACUUGAGUGCAGAAGAGGAGAGUGGAAUUCCACGUGUAGCGGUGAAAUGCGUAGAGAUGUGGAGGAACACCAGUGGCGAAGGCGACUCUCUGGUCUGUAACUGACGCUGAGGAGCGAAAGCGUGGGGAGCGAACAGGAUUAGAUACCCUGGUAGUCCACGCCGUAAACGAUGAGUGCUAAGUGUUAGGGGGUUUCCGCCCCUUAGUGCUGCAGCUAACGCAUUAAGCACUCCGCCUGGGGAGUACGGUCGCAAGACUGAAACUCAAAGGAAUUGACGGGGGCCCGCACAAGCGGUGGAGCAUGUGGUUUAAUUCGAAGCAACGCGAAGAACCUUACCAGGUCUUGACAUCCUUUACAACCCUAGAGAUAGGGCUUUCCCUUCGGGGACAGAG